UUAUCAUCCUCUAGUUAACUCAUUUACAUUGCGUCAGUUACCACCUAGCCGCUUCGUUCACCGUGGGACAAAAGGCAACGGAUCCGUAGACGGACAAACCCGACGUUUCACCGUUGCAGCGUCGUCGAGAUCGAUGUGGUUCUUCACAAUUACUUACACGCUGUGUGCCGGUUGUCAACUUCUCGUUUGCGGAAAUUCUUUAUCCAAUUGACCGUUGGCAAUAAGUUCCGCAAAAUGGAAAACAGUUGGAGCUUUGUCGAAGUAUCGAAACGUUUGUAAUUUAUCGUUUAAACUGUUCAAGUACCCGCUUUUUUUAAAUCCAGCAGAACACAAUACGGAGAUAAGCGCAAGAAUCGCUUACGCAAAACCGAUCUUUCCGAGUAUAAUUCAAAAGGGAGGAAGACGGUGAUGGAAAAAAGGGCAACGCCACGGUCGGGUUUCGGAAAUAAUGAAAUCCUCUAGAUUGGAAGCCAUUAUUCGUUAUAAAUGGAAAACACCCUGUACAGCGGGGUGGUAAGGAGACCCUCUCAGCCGUCAUCGUCUUCACUCCUCUCCUCUCCUCGAGGCUGCGCAGCACCUCCUUUGCGGCCCCGAUACCAAGAGAGUUACGCCGAGCGGCUAUCUUACUCUCCUCGACGCCGAGCCUCGGCCGAGCCUCCGGCGUCAAUUUAACCCGACUCGCGGGGCUGCGGGAGAAAUUUUAAUAUGAACAAGAAGGAGGAGAAGAAGAGGAAAAGCAAGGGGAAGAAGAGCGGGAGAGAGAAGGGAGUUCGGGUGGCUACGUUACGCAAAUUUGCGGGGAUUUCAUCUAAUUCCACAUUGUUUCUGCAAAGCACUCAAAGCUGUGAUGCCGCAAAAGUGGCUAUUUUCGUUCGGCUCAUAUUUGCCGGGCUCGUUCAAGCGGUGGUUAAUAUAAACAAAAGUUUACUCUACUAAAUAUGACAAUCAGUUUGACUGGAAUCUAAUCCAGUUACCGUUACCGUAACUUUCACGUUGACGUCAACUGGAUUCACAGUAGAUUAAUUGUUGCGGUAGCUAGGUAGCAAAAACAAUACAAUUUUGAAAAGCGGUCUAACUUGACUGUGAAAUUUUUUUUAUACGCAAACGUCGCCGUUAUUGGAUGUCACUGAUU
Molecule: long non-coding RNA, 1132 nt
Organism: Neodiprion virginianus
Lineage: Eukaryota; Metazoa; Arthropoda; Insecta; Hymenoptera; Diprionidae
Exons: 3
Source: RefSeq, a predicted model, not a curated record